This 211-nucleotide long non-coding RNA is filed under the name Elaeis guineensis (African oil palm). RNAcentral describes it as "long non-coding RNA (EGUI_LNC078363)". Lineage: Eukaryota; Viridiplantae; Streptophyta; Magnoliopsida; Arecales; Arecaceae. The record is from RNAcentral.
CGUAUUCUGUUCGUUUAGCUUUCUCGGGGACCUAUUUGCUAUUUUUCUCGAUUUUCUAGGAUUUUUUGUGGCCUCCAUUUGAUCCAAAAUAUCCUCUGAUAUCUCCUCCUCUAGCAGUUUUAGGAGUUCGUCAGCCUCAGUUCCCCAUAGUAUUGGUACCGUAGACGAACCCGCAGCUAGGACCGAACCCUGUCUGGCCUUUGCACCGGAC